Molecule: ribosomal RNA, 253 nt
Filed under: uncultured bacterium
Lineage: Bacteria
Description: partial 16S ribosomal RNA
Rfam family: Bacterial small subunit ribosomal RNA
Source: RNAcentral
UACGUAGGGGGCAAGCGUUGUCCGGAUUUAUUGGGCGUAAAGAGCGCGUAGGCGGCCCGAUAAGUCCGCUGUGAAAGUCCAGGGCUCAACCCUGGAAUGCCAGUGGAUACUGUCGGGCUAGAGUGCGGAAGAGGCGAGUGGAAUUCCUGGUGUAGCGGUGGAAUGCGCAGAUAUCAGGAGGAACACCAAUAGCGAAGGCAGCUCGCUGGGACGUUACUGACGCUGAGGCGCGAAAGCGUGGGGAGCAAACAGG